CGGGUGAGUAACACGUGGAUAACCUACCUAUAAGACUGGGAUAACUUCGGGAAACCGGAGCUAAUACCGGAUAAUAUUUUGAACCGCAUGGUUCAAAAGUGAAAGACGGUCUUGCUGUCACCUAUAGAUGGAUCCGCGCUGCAUUAGCUAGUUGGUAAGGUAACGGCUUACCAAGGCAACGAUGCAUAGCCGACCUGAGAGGGUGAUCGGCCACACUGGAACUGAGGCACGGUCCAG
This 237-nucleotide ribosomal RNA is filed under the name uncultured Staphylococcus sp. RNAcentral describes it as "partial 16S ribosomal RNA". It matches the Rfam family "Bacterial small subunit ribosomal RNA", at positions 103 to 334 of the family's 1533-position model. Lineage: Bacteria; Bacillati; Bacillota; Bacilli; Caryophanales; Staphylococcaceae. The record is from RNAcentral.